This 414-nucleotide ribosomal RNA is filed under the name uncultured microorganism. RNAcentral's name for it is "bacterial SSU rRNA". It matches the Rfam family "Archaeal small subunit ribosomal RNA", at positions 459 to 872 of the family's 1478-position model. The record is from RNAcentral.
CAGCCGCCGCGGUAAUACCGGCGGCCCGAGUGGCGGUCACUAUUAUUGGGCUUAAAGCGUCCGUAGCCGGGUUGGGAAGUCCUCCGGGAAAUCUGGCCGCUUAACGGUCAGAAUGCCGGAGGAUACUCCCAGCCUAGGGAGCGGGAGAGGCCGAGGGGAUUCCCGGAGUAGGGGUGAAAUCCUAUAAUCCCGGGAGGACCACCUGUGGCGAAGGCGCUCGGCGGGAACGCGUCCGACGGUGAGGGACGAAGGCCAGGGGAGCAAACCGGAUUAGAUACCCGGGUAGUCCUGGCGGUAAACGAUGCGGACUUUGUGUCGGACAAGCUAUGAGCUUGUCCGGUGCCGGAGGGAAACCGUUAAGUCCGCCGCCUGGGGAGUACGGCCGCAAGGCUGAAACUUAAAGGAAUUGGCGGG